RNAcentral lists this ribosomal RNA (253 nucleotides) under uncultured bacterium. Its description in RNAcentral is "partial 16S ribosomal RNA". It matches the Rfam family "Bacterial small subunit ribosomal RNA", at positions 524 to 776 of the family's 1533-position model. The record is from RNAcentral.
UACGUAGGGUCCGAGCGUUGUCCGGAAUUACUGGGCGUAAAGAGCUCGUAGGUGGUUUGUCGCGUUGUUCGUGAAAACUCACAGCUCAACUGUGGGCGUGCGGGCGAUACGGGCAGACUUGAGUACUGCAGGGGAGACUGGAAUUCCUGGUGUAGCGGUGGAAUGCGCAGAUAUCAGGAGGAACACCGGUGGCGAAGGCGGCAUCCUGGACCAACACUGACGCUGAGGAGCGAAAGCCAGGGGAGCAAACGGG